UACGGAGGGAGCUAGCGUUGUUCGGAAUUACUGGGCGUAAAGCGCACGUAGGCGGCGAUUCAAGUCAGAGGUGAAAGCCCGGGGCUCAACCCCGGAACUGCCUUUGAAACUAGAUUGCUAGAAUCCUGGAGAGGUGAGUGGAAUUCCGAGUGUAGAGGUGAAAUUCGUAGAUAUUCGGAAGAACACCAGUGGCGAAGGCGACUCACUGGCCCGAUACUGACGCUGAGGCGCGAAAGCGUGGGGAGCAAACAGG
Molecule: ribosomal RNA, 253 nt
Filed under: uncultured bacterium
Lineage: Bacteria
Description: partial 16S ribosomal RNA
Rfam family: Bacterial small subunit ribosomal RNA
Source: RNAcentral